UUAAAGAGAAUACUGAUUCCAAAGACAGUAGGUGCCGAAAGGUUUAAAUAAUUGCCUACCGAGGAAUACCAAGGUAAGUAAUUAUUUGGUCUUCCUAUGUCUAUGGGAAGGCCUUUCUUAAUAUAAAU
Clostridium sp. 7_2_43FAA is the source of this 128-nucleotide regulatory RNA element. It matches the Rfam family "Ribosomal protein L10 leader". From Rfam's summary of the family: This family is a putative r-protein leader autoregulatory structure found in B. subtilis and other low-GC Gram-positive bacteria. It is located in the 5' untranslated regions of mRNAs encoding ribosomal proteins L10 and L12 (rplJ-rplL). NCBI's taxonomy places the organism in Bacteria, Bacillati, Bacillota, Clostridia, Eubacteriales, Clostridiaceae. The record is from Rfam.